UGUUGGUUUAGUGCAAGACUUUGUUGAGUAUAAAACCCCUUCUAAAUUUUUUUUUGAACAGGGGAUGUGCUGAGAAUUCGGUUUUAAACGAUUAUAGGUUUAUUUCAAAUGUGCUUGUAUUGAAACUUGAUGCUAAAGUGAAUGAAUGAAUUUCGAGAAAAAAUUCUUUAUGCGGACCUUGCCGCUUUUUGAUUUUUGAUAUUGUAACUGUAGAUUGUACAGUGUACAUAUGUUUAAUAUGCGGACCUGGCCGCUUUUAUCACGGACCUGGCCGUGAU
RNAcentral lists this long non-coding RNA (278 nucleotides) under Mytilus galloprovincialis (Mediterranean mussel). Lineage: Eukaryota; Metazoa; Mollusca; Bivalvia; Mytilida; Mytilidae. The record is from RNAcentral.